AACAUUAUAAGUUAAAUAAACUAUUGAUUUGAUACAUCAGCAUUAGGAUUAUUCCUUUUUGUUA
Molecule: transfer RNA, 64 nt
Filed under: Nymphon gracile
Lineage: Eukaryota; Metazoa; Arthropoda; Pycnogonida; Pantopoda; Nymphonidae
Description: tRNA-Ile
Source: RNAcentral